CCAGAGAACUUAGCAGAGAUGCUUUGGUGCCUUCGGGAACUCUGAGACAGGUGCUGCAUGGCUGUCGUCAGCUCGUGUUGUGAAAUGUUGGGUUAAGUCCCCGCAACGAGCGCAACCCUUUAUCCUUUGUUGCCAGCGAUUCGGUCGGGAACUCAAAGGAGACUGCCGGUGAUAAACCGGAGGAAGGUGGGGAUGACGUCAAGUCAUCAUGGCCCUUACGGCCAGGGCUACACACGUGCUACAAUGGCGCAUACAAAGAGAAGCGACCUCGCGAGAGCAAGCGGACCUCAUAAAGUGCGUCGUAGUCCGGAUUGGAGUCUGCAACUCGACUCCAUGAAGUCGGAAUCGCUAGUAAUCGUAGAUCAGAAUGCUACGGUGAAUACGUUCCCGGGCCUUGUACACACCGCCCGUCACACCAUGGGAGUGGGUUGCAAAAGAAGUAGGUAGCUUAACCUUCGGGAGGGCGCUUACCACUUUGUGAUUCAUGACUGGGGUGAAGUCGUAACAAGGUAGGCGUAGAUGA
This 523-nucleotide ribosomal RNA is filed under the name uncultured bacterium. RNAcentral describes it as "bacterial SSU rRNA". It matches the Rfam family "Bacterial small subunit ribosomal RNA", at positions 988 to 1509 of the family's 1533-position model. The record is from RNAcentral.